RNAcentral lists this ribosomal RNA (468 nucleotides) under uncultured bacterium. RNAcentral describes it as "partial 16S ribosomal RNA". It matches the Rfam family "Bacterial small subunit ribosomal RNA", at positions 28 to 507 of the family's 1533-position model. The record is from RNAcentral.
GACGAACGCUGGCGGCGUGCUUAACACAUGCAAGUCGAACGGAAAGGCCCUGCUUUUGUUGGGUGCUCGAUUGGCGAACGGGUGAGUAACACGUGAGUAACCUGCCCUUGACUUUGGGAUAACUUCAGGAAACUGGGGCUAAUACCGGAUAGGAGCUCCUGCUGCAUGGUGGGGGUUGGAAAGUUUCGGCGUUUGUGGAUGGACUCGCGGCUUAUCCGCUUGUUGGUGGGGUAGUGGCUUACCAAGGCUUUGACGGGUAGCCGGCCUGGGAGGGUGACCGGCCACAUUGGGACUGCGAGACGGCCCAGAAUGCUAUGGGAGGCAGCAGUGGGGAAUAUUGCACAAUGGGCGGAAGCGAGAGACAGCAACGCCGCGUGCGGGAUGACGUCCUUCGGGUGGUAAACCGCUGUCGCAGGUGACGAAGCGUGAGUGACGGUAAUGGGUAAAGAAGCACCGGCUAACUACGUG